CCUACGGGAGGCUGCAGUGGGGAAUCUUGGACAAUGGGGGCAACCCUGAUCCAGCAAUGCCGCGUGGGUGAAGAAGGCCUUCGGGUUGUAAAGCCCUUUCGAGAGAGGGGCGGUACCUGCAGAAGAAGCACCGGCUAACUACGUGCCAGCAGCCGCGGUAAUACGUAGGGUGCGAGCGUUAAUCGGAUUUACUGGGCGUAAAGCGUGCGCAGGCGGCCCGUUAAGACAGGUGUGAAAUCCCUGGGCUCAACCUAGGAAUUGCGCUUGUGACUGGCGGGCUCGAGUACGGUAGAGGGGGGUGGAAUUCCUGGUGUAGCAGUGAAAUGCGUAGAGAUCAGGAGGAACACCGAUGGCGAAGGCAGCCCCCUGGCCGUACUGACGCUCAUGCACGAAAGCGUGGGGAGCAAACAGGAUUAGAUACCCUAGUAGUC
RNAcentral lists this ribosomal RNA (431 nucleotides) under uncultured bacterium. Its description in RNAcentral is "partial 16S ribosomal RNA". It matches the Rfam family "Bacterial small subunit ribosomal RNA", at positions 338 to 795 of the family's 1533-position model. The record is from RNAcentral.